AACAUGCAAAAACCAAAGCCUCGCAAGAACCGCUCCUUCUCCCUCCACUUCUCAUGGAGCUCGCCCUCCCUCCCUUCCCCUCUCUCCUCCCCAAAUCCCACCACCUCCAGCCCCAGCCGCCCUCCCGGCCCCGCCAUGGCCGCCUCCAAGAACCGGUCAUGGCGCUGGCCCAAGCUCCGCCGCCCUGGCUGGCGCUCUCGCUUGACGAGGCGAGAAGCGUCCACGUCCCUCACCACGCGCGGCCUGUCCAAGAGACAAGAGCUCGCCCGCCCACCUCCUUCGCGCGCGGGGAGCCCCGGUUCGUCUCGGAGACCAAGCUCAUCACGUUCCACUCCUCCGCGGGCCGCCUGGGCGCCGCCCGCGAGGUGUUCGACGGAAUGAGCCACAGGGACCUGCUCGCCUGGUCGGCCAUGAUCGGCGCGUACGCCACCAGGGGCAUCUUCCAUGAGGUGCUCGCGCUCGCGGUGAGCAUGAUGGGGGAAGGCGUGCUCCCUGACAGGUUCCUGAUCACUCGGAUUCUGCAGGCGUGCGCCUACGCUGAGGACCAGAGGCUUGGGAGUGUGCUGCACUCCAUGGCCAUCCGGAGAGGGUUUAUGGGCAGGGUGAAGGAUGUGCCUGUGGGGAACUCGGUGCUGGUGAUGUAUGUCAAAUGUGGAGAACUGGGGCGUGCGCGCGCGGUGUUUGACAAGAUGAGGCGCCGGGACCUGGGCACAUGGAACUCGAUGAUCUUUGGGUGCUGUCGGUCUUGCGAGUGGGAGGAAGCGCGGAGGCUUCUUGAUGAAAUGAGGCGGGAAGGGACAGAGCCAGGGGUUGUCACAUGGAACACACUGAUUUCGAGCUAUGCUAGGUCUGGGGAUCUUGAUGUGGCCGUGGACCUGCUGGGACAGAUGGAAGAGUGUGGAGUAGAGCCAGAUGUUGUCACGUGGACAAGCCUUGUGUCAGGUUUCGUUCAUAGCGAUAGAGGGGAUGAGGCACUUCAGUGUUUUAUCCGGAUGCGUGUGGCUGGAGUGGAACCAAAUGGCAUGACAAUUGCAUGUGCCAUCUCAGCUUGUGCGAGUUUGAAGUUAUUGAGACAGGGAAGCCAGCUCCAUUGCCAUGCGAUUAAGAUUGGGACUGUAAACAAUGUUUUGUCUGGGAACUCCUUGGUUGACAUGUAUGCUAAAUGUGGCGAAAUAGUCGCAGCAUAUAGAAUAUUUAAUGAGAUACCCGAGAAGGACAUCUUCUCCUGGAAUUCAAUGGUUGCAGGGUAUGCACAAGCGGGAUACUGUGGCAAGGCAUACGAACUCUUCUGCAAGAUGGAAAGUUAUGGUAUCCAGCGCAAUGUGAUAACCUGGAAUACAAUGAUAUCAGGGUACAUACGGAAUGGGGACGAUGAGAGAGCUUUUGAACUAUUCCAGACCAUGGAAAGUUAUGGAGUAAAAAAGGACACAGCUUCCUGGAACAUACUCAUUGCUGGUUCAGUGCAUAAUGGAUAUUUUGAUAGAGCCCUAAGAAUAUUUUGGCAGAUGCAAUCAGUUCUGAUAAAGCCCGACUACAUUACAAUCCUAAGUAUCAUCCCAGCAUUCGCAAAUCUGGUGGCAGCGUGGAAAGUAAGGGAGAUCCAUGCCUGUAUUUUUCACCACAACUUAGAAAUGGAUGGGAAAAUCGCAAAUGCGCUUAUUAAUGCAUAUUCAAAAUCUGGUGAUCUUGCUGGUGCUUGUGCUGUUUUUGAUAGGCACUCAUCAAGGAACACUAUUUCAUGGAAUUGCAUCAUUGUUGCACAUUUGCUGCAUGGGUCUCCAACUAAAGUAGUGGAUUACUUCUUUAAAAUGAAGCAACAAGGUGUACUGCCAGAUCAUACAACUUUGACAGCUGUUAUCAGGGCCUACGGUAUGGAGGGGAUGGUAUCUGAAGGGAGAGAAAUAUUUCUCAAUAUGGACAAAGACUAUAAUGUAACUCCAGAUUUAGAUCAUUAUGCAGCAAUGGUAGACCUUCUUGGACGGUCUGGGAGACUGCAAGAGGCAUAUGCAAUUAUUGAUGAAAUGCCACUCGCACCCAAUUUAACACUGUGGGAAUCAUUACUAACCUCAGCAAGAAUGCAUGGAAAUGUAAGGCUGGCACUACUGGCGGCUACAGAGAUGUCGAUGAUUGAACCCAAUGAUCCUAGAAUCCAAGUCGUGGUUUCUAGUCUGCAGGAUCUUGCUGGACAAUCUUUUGAUGUGCCAAAGGUGACAGUACACAGCAAGGAAAGAAUGUUGGGUGGGGUUGAGAGUUGUUCAACAGAAAUCAGAAAUAUGGUAUAUUUGUUCUCAACUGGUGAUAAGGUUGCCUCGGAGCAUGAAGCAGCUGAAUUAAAAGUGAUGAUGAUUGAGAUGGGACCCUCUAUGCUUAGCGCUGGUAAUGGAACUCUAGAAGUGGAAGAAGAGAAGGAAGAAGUUGCAGGAAUCCAUUGUGAGAAAUUAGCAAUUAUUGUUGGGAUUUCUAAUUCUCCUCACUUCAGAAGCAUACGGAUAAUCAAAACUGCAAGGAUGUGUAACCAUUGUCACACCUUCGCUAAGUUAGUUUCGAAGAAGUAUGGGCGUCAGAUACUGAUCAAGGAUCCGAAGUAUUUGCACAAGUUUGAGAAUGGUAAUUGCUCUUGUGAUGAUUAUUGGUGAACUCAACUGGUAUAAGUCAGCUGGGCAAAUGAGGCUGCCAGGUGGCUAGACUGAAAUGUUCCAGAUAUAUGAAUACAGCCAGCUAACUUUAUGAACAGUGUUGUUCAUCAUAUUUUUAGAUCACAUACCUCAGCAAGAGGUUGCAUUGUAUUUGAAUUUCAUUGACACUGAAUAUGGCCUCAACAUUAAUAUAAAGUUGACACUUGGCACUCUUGGGAGUUAGCCUUUCCAGGAAUUCUAUCUCCGGAUAAAACAUUAUUGCUCUGGUAUCAUUAAAACAAAGCCAUUCAGAUGAUACAUGCUCCCAGCAUUAGUGAAUUCAUUGUAAACGAAUUGGUAGAACAGAUCACUGCAAGUGGCACAACAUACAAGAUUAUGCUUAUAAUUCAACCACAUAUUGAAUGGCUGCAUGCCUCUAUGCAUAUGAUCAAUGGGAUUCAUCGAUGAUCUCCAACUCAGAAGCAAUACGACCUUGAAUGAUGAUUGGCCUCACUAGAGAAGCUUUCAUUAAGCACCAGGGCACUGCUGCUGCAAAUGGAAACAACCUACAAAGUUUUUUGCCAUACCAUAAACCUUACUGAUACUGAAUUAGUAAGGUACUGCAGCUAUUGGCUAUAUUUGUUGGUCUAUCAAAUAUAGAAUCUAUACUUGGUGCUUCCCCUCAUUUCCCCCUCUUUUGAUCACCCAAUUCAGCUGAAAUUAUUUAUGGGUGUAUCCUGCCAAACUGACCCAAUAUUCAAGAAUCUGUGUUCCAUUGAAUCAUCUCAGGUGCUUAUUCAUGUCGCUUUGUUUUCAAGCUAUGCUGUACAACCCUUUGUGUUGUAUUAAUGAUCAGAGAGCUAACUUGGUCUCAAGCUCAGAGCAAUGUCCUUGUUUAGAAGAAGUGAAUAUCACCAUCUCUUUCACAUGGCGCCUUCUUUUUUCCAUUUUGCUUUCUCAAUUGUCAAUUUAGUGAACCGAAGGGUAAGCAGGAGAAUUAUUCAAUUUGACUUUGCAUUCACCGAAGUGGUACUUUUGUGUGUGUGGUUGGGGGAGUCUGUCAGGAACCAUGUCUGAGUAUCAAUCACAAAUAAGACAAUUUUUCAGAUCUGUACGGGUGCCCCUCUCCUCUUUAGGUUUACACAAAAUUUGCACACAUGUACUGUAUGAAACUAAAUGUAUAUUGGACGUGAAGUUUCUGCACAUGAGCACAUAUGCGCCCUUUAUCUGGGCGGUUGAAUAGAGCAUCAGGAUGUGCUGCAUUUAAUUCUGGGCGAGAUAUGGGUCCGCUCAUAAUGAUGGAGAUGUUCAUAUACGUACGCUGUGACUUCUGGGCUGUGGGUCAGGAUUGUAACAGAUGGACGAUCACUGUGGAUGGUUGGAAGCAGGGCUGUGGCUCAUGACGUCAUGCCCCUUCCCGAUCCGUGGAUCAGGAAACAUGCUUUCCAGCUACUGGGACAGAGCCGUAGUAAAUGUGGGUGGCUGGGUGGUGUCGUCUCCUACCUCAGGCGGCUGGAUUCUUCCAUUAGCGAGAGCGGUCGUCUCGGUGGCGCACCUUCUGCGGGAACAAGACUGCCACUGCCGGUGAAGAUGAAGUUCUUGAUGCAGCCGAUUAGAAGGUGCGAAUCUGAACCAUUGGUAUAUACUGCCAUUUGAGUUGUGUUUCCAUUGAGUAAGAUUGAUCUUCCAUUACCUCAUGUCACUAAGCAGAUUUAGCUUGCUAGAGGAGGUUAACGAUAGCGACAUCCCGAUGGAGCCGCUGCAUUACCAAGUCGCCCCACCGGUUGUCGAGCAGCAGCUGCGUCGAUGCAGGCAGUGAGCGUCAACGGCUAAAUCUGCGACGCAGGCGGCGGCAGAUGCUGAAAGGGAAGGUUCACUGCAGGCAUCUGGGCAGUUGAUUGGCCAGAUGAACACUAAAGCUCAUGGAUGGACCUGAAGGUAUGUCAGAAUUCAGGUGUACAAUCUGAAUUUCAUCAUGCAACUCUGAAAGUAAAGAGUCCUGGAACUUGUCACCAAUUACUAAGCUGGUCCACAGAUUAGUCAUGUAGGUAGUGUGACAUUUUAGUCCAGUAGUGCAUCUGUGCAAAAAAUCUUUGAUUUUGGUAGUGUGACAGAUCAGUGUGCUGUGCUCUUUACUGACAAAUUAGCAAAUUAGUUGUGUGCUCUUUAUCAUGGAGGCAGUGUGCUUUUGAAGUUUUAACUGACAAAUUAGCAAAUUAGCUGUGCUCUUUAUCAUGCAGGUAGUGUGCUUUUUACUGAUUAAUUAGUAAAUUGUGCACAGAUUAGUCAUGGAGGUAGUGGGCCAUUAUAGUCCAGUACUACGUCAGCACGAAAAAUCAAAUGAUUUUGUCACUACCUUAUAUAUUGCAAAACUGUAGCAAAUUAGUUGUGAUAAUAAUUUCUGGCCUGAAAACACUGCGGCCGGGUUGUCAUCAUACCUAAUAACCAGUGUAGAAAUUUGAAUGCCUACAUUGCCUUAGAAAUAACUGCUGCUGCCGGUGAUGGAAUUCCUAAUGCAACCGAUCAGAAGGUAAGAAGCACCUAUGAAUCUGGAUCAGCGGAAACUGGUGGGGGAACGCUCUGUCUUUAUUUGCUUCGUGGUUUUGUUCUUGUGUUUUACCAGGUUCCCUUUGGUCGACGAUUUGUUCAAAAGUCAACCCGUCCAUGCUUCUGCCGGCUAUCGGGAUAGCGGCGUCUUUCUGGCUCAGGGCAGCAGAAGAACUGCCGGUGGAAUUCGUGAGCGCAGAUGCGCCAAUUUGUGAGGAACAGGCAGGCGUGGAUGGAAGACGGGAGAGCUUGCCCCAGUUAUCUGAGCCCGCAACGCAAGCAUUGGGCUGGUAAAAUAGGUGCGUUCCAAAAACUAUUUGUGUCUUGCAUUUUGGAAAUUGCUGGAUCGGAAGUAAGCUAGGCUGGGUGGAUGUGUGAGAGUAGUCUUGGAUUUGCUAGCCGGUAGAAGUGCUAUGUCGCUGCUAGUGCACUGCUAUUAAUCUGUGCACCUAUAUAACUUCAGGAAAUGUACAUACUGAUUCAGGGAUGCUGAUAUGAUAUGAUUUACUAGGAAAAGACUUGCACCUACCCACGUCAAUAGAUAUUGAUUUUCGCUCUACAUAGGUACGGGCAUAUAUAGUGUGUAGAGAAGUUAGACACACUGUGUCUUAAAAGCUAAAAAACGUGCGAUUGAUCGGUGAAAUCCCAGCUAGGCUGGGGGCUGAUCGGUAGCGAAUAAACUUAGCAUGCGAUGACCCGAUCUACACUAGCAAAUUAAAAAACCAAAAACUAUGAAAAGAAAAAUGAAACAACAACCAGAAAAAUAAAUAAACAACAAUGUAAAAACCAAGAAGAGAAACCAGCAAUAACCAGAAAAGGAAAAAGGAAAUGGGCAGGGCAGCCAGCCCACGUCAGGCGCUCAUAGGU
This 6029-nucleotide ribosomal RNA is filed under the name Triticum aestivum (bread wheat). Its description in RNAcentral is "partial small subunit ribosomal RNA". The record is from RNAcentral. Lineage: Eukaryota; Viridiplantae; Streptophyta; Magnoliopsida; Poales; Poaceae.